RNAcentral lists this ribosomal RNA (644 nucleotides) under Escherichia coli. RNAcentral describes it as "partial 23S ribosomal RNA". It matches the Rfam family "Bacterial large subunit ribosomal RNA", at positions 582 to 1227 of the family's 2925-position model. Lineage: Bacteria; Pseudomonadati; Pseudomonadota; Gammaproteobacteria; Enterobacterales; Enterobacteriaceae. The record is from RNAcentral.
CUCUUAAUGGGGUGACUGCGUACCUUUUGUAUAAUGGGUCAGCGACUUAUAUUCUGUAGCAAGGUUAACCGAAUAGGGGAGCCGAAGGGAAACCGAGUCUUAACUGGGCGUUAAGUUGCAGGGUAUAGACCCGAAACCCGGUGAUCUAGCCAUGGGCAGGUUGAAGGUUGGGUAACACUAACUGGAGGACCGAACCGACUAAUGUUGAAAAAUUAGCGGAUGACUUGUGGCUGGGGGUGAAAGGCCAAUCAAACCGGGAGAUAGCUGGUUCUCCCCGAAAGCUAUUUAGGUAGCGCCUCGUGAAUUCAUCUCCGGGGGUAGAGCACUGUUUCGGCAAGGGGGUCAUCCCGACUUACCAACCCGAUGCAAACUGCGAAUACCGGAGAAUGUUAUCACGGGAGACACACGGCGGGUGCUAACGUCCGUCGUGAAGAGGGAAACAACCCAGACCGCCAGCUAAGGUCCCAAAGUCAUGGUUAAGUGGGAAACGAUGUGGGAAGGCCCAGACAGCCAGGAUGUUGGCUUAGAAGCAGCCAUCAUUUAAAGAAAGCGUAAUAGCUCACUGGUCGAGUCGGCCUGCGCGGAAGAUGUAACGGGGCUAAACCAUGCACCGAAGCUGCGGCAGCGACACUAUGUGUUGUUGG